AAGCGCACAUGGUAAGGACAGGAUAGACAUUUGCUGUAUUAAGACCACGCGUGUGUCCCCAGACCUGGUUCUCUCCCUAUGUCUGCUUUCAUAAACACUGGUGAUCAAA
Small nucleolar RNA from Oryctolagus cuniculus (rabbit), 109 nucleotides. Its record names the gene SNORA72. It matches the Rfam family "Small nucleolar RNA SNORA72". Rfam says of the family: U72 is a member of the H/ACA class of snoRNAs. The snoRNA gene is located in intron 4 of the ribosomal L30 protein gene in human, mouse and chicken. NCBI's taxonomy places the organism in Eukaryota, Metazoa, Chordata, Mammalia, Lagomorpha, Leporidae. The record is from Ensembl.